UUCGUACUGUGCAAUCACCAAUGAAUUUGAGGGGGAAAUACUUGCACCAUCCUUUUCUUUCUGACAAUGUUGUUCGCUAUUCAAAGGAUUUUUGAAUAUGUCUUUUUUUCAAACUAAGCAGUAAUCAAACCCACUCUGAUUUUGAGUUGUCGUGUUGAAAUUCAAAAGAAUCUAUAACAUAUCGUGUAUAAUAUUCUUAAUGAUUAUGUCCUAAUAUUUGAAUCUCAAGAAAUUAAGAAACUUCUCUUAUUUCGUGUAAUUCAAAAUUGUAAGAGGUUUUCGAAUGUUAGUAACAACCAUCUUUAAGUUUUCUUUCUUCUCGAAUUUGAAAUUACGAUUGAGAUUCAUUUGAGUAGUGACUUUCUUUUUUUAUUUGGAAAAUUCAAAGAAAAAUAUUCUACUCGGAAAUUUAUGGAUUCACUACUUAAGAGUUCCCAGUAUAUGAGAUAAAUUGUGAUAUGAUUCCUAUUUUAGCAAUUGUACUAAUCAUAUCCUCAAGAGACGAGCCUUUCCUAUCACAUGUGCUCUUUACAAGCCCCUAAGGUUCACCUCUCCCCUUCACCAGCUUACAUCUACCGUCCUUUCAGCCCUUCGUGACAAAUUUGCUGCUUCUAAAAUAGAAACAAACAUUUACCUCUUAUAGUAUCCAAUCACAUAUCAAAAGCACAUCUUUUGUGUCACCCUUUUUGGCUUGGAUUUAGGGAGAAGAUGAUAUGUCAAAAGUGGAGUCCUUAGCAUAAGCUAGGGAAGCAAGGCUAGUCAAGAAAUAAUUUAAGGAGACAGCAGCAGAGGCAUUUUGUCCUGUUGGAUAGGUAAGUGGAGAAAAGGCGGCAAAUGGCAACAAAAAAGUCAUCAAAAGUGAGUCUGCGGAAUUAGGAGACACACCACCCCAUCACGCAGUCAGCUAUGCAUGUCGACUUGAGGUCGAGGGUCGAGAUUUUCAGGUAACGCCUUGUUUAAAUAUUUCAUCCUUUCU
Molecule: long non-coding RNA, 976 nt
Organism: Lycium ferocissimum
Lineage: Eukaryota; Viridiplantae; Streptophyta; Magnoliopsida; Solanales; Solanaceae
Exons: 3
Source: RefSeq, a predicted model, not a curated record